Molecule: long non-coding RNA, 613 nt
Filed under: Coturnix japonica (Japanese quail)
Lineage: Eukaryota; Metazoa; Chordata; Aves; Galliformes; Phasianidae
Description: lncRNA (ENSCJPG00005001225.1)
Source: RNAcentral
ACUAUUCUGUGUUUAAGUCGCAUCUUACCAGGACCAUUCUUACUGUGCUUUGAUGCUUUUCAAUACAGAUCUUGAUGCAUUCAUGGCAAGGCCAAGAGCACCCUGAGAAAUGAGGAAAAAGAAGCACCAGUUGAGAGGGAGAAGUCAGUGGAGAACCUGUUUCUUUCCUCAACCACAAGAUAGACUUUCCUUAAAUGUAAGUAGGAAGAUCAGAUAUUUGUGUCUGUUAAUCCCCCUAUUUAUACAGGAAUGGGAAUUCACCACUCUGGGAAAAAAAAGAAGAGGAAAGGAAAUUAAAUUCAAAGAUAAAAGCCCAAAUGACAAUUUAUUAUUUUAUAGAAUUCUCUUUAACUCCCUGGAUUUUAUCUAUCUUUAGCAUGCUUUUUUUUUUUUUUUUUUUUUUUUUUUUUUUCUGUCAACAAACAAAGCAAUCCUUUAUUUCUCACUACACAACCUUCCCAUUAAUUAUAACUGAUAAAGGCUACUCUCUACUUAUUAGUAUUUAUUGAUGGUUUUUAAAAUUUCUUUUACUUUUUUAGCCCAGUGUUAUAUUAUUUCCUCAUUACCUACUAGGUGUUAGGUCCUCUUCCCCCUUCUUCUGAAAAAUUCAAAC